CUUUGGUUUUAUUUUGUUGGUUUUAAGAACCAAAGUAAUGAUAAAUAGGGCCAGUCGGGGGCAUUAGUAUUCUGAGGUCAGAGGUGAAAUUCUUGGAUUCUCAGAAGACUAACUACUGCGAAAGCAUUUGCCAAGAAUGUUUUCAUUGAUCAGGAACGAAAGUUAGGGGAUCAAAGACGAUCAGAUACCGUCGUAGUCUUAACCAUAAACUAUGCCGACUAGGGAUCGGUCAACGUCUUUUUUGACUUGAUCGGCACCUUAUGAGAAAUCAAAGUUUUUAGGUUCUGGGGGGAGUAUGGUCGCAAGGCUGAAACUUAAAGGAAUUGACGGAAGGGCACCACCAGGAGUGGAGCCUGCGGCUUAAUUUGACUCAACACGGGAAACUCACCA
Molecule: ribosomal RNA, 390 nt
Filed under: fungal sp.
Lineage: Eukaryota; Fungi
Description: SSU rRNA
Rfam family: Eukaryotic small subunit ribosomal RNA
Source: RNAcentral